This 422-nucleotide ribosomal RNA is filed under the name uncultured bacterium. RNAcentral describes it as "bacterial SSU rRNA". It matches the Rfam family "Bacterial small subunit ribosomal RNA", at positions 917 to 1341 of the family's 1533-position model. The record is from RNAcentral.
GGGCCCGCACAAGCGGUGGAGCAUGUGGUUUAAUUUGAUGAUACGCGAGGAACCUUACCAGGGCUUAAAUGUAGUCUGACAGGGGUGGAAACACCCCCCUCCUUCGGGCAGAUUACAAGGUGCUGCAUGGUUGUCGUCAGCUCGUGCCGUGAGGUGUCAGGUUAAGUCCUAUAACGAGCGCAACCCCUGCCGUUAGUUGCCAGCAUGUAAUGAUGGGAACUCUAACGGGACUGCCGGUGCAAACCGCGAGGAAGGUGGGGAUGACGUCAAAUCAUCACGGCCCUUACGUCCUGGGCUACACACGUGCUACAAUGGCCGGUACAGAGGGCAGCCACACCGCAAGGUGGAGCGAAUCCUUAAAACCGGUCUCAGUUCGGAUCGGGGUCUGCAACUCGAGUACAUGAAGGUGGAAUCGCUAGUAA